UGGGGAAUCUUUCGCAAUGUGCGAAAGCCUGACGCAGCGACGCCGCGUGAGGGAAGAAGUCCAUCGGGUUGUAAACCUCUUUCAGCAGGGACGAAGCCACUCGGGUUAAUAGCCCAGAGGGUGACGGUACCUGCAGAAGAAGCCCCGGCUAACUACGUGCCAGCAGCCGCGGUAAUACGUAGGGGGCAAGCGUUGUCCGGAUUUAUUGGGCGUAAAGAGCGUGUAGGCGGCCAGACAGGUCCGUUGUGAAAACUGGAGGCUUAACCUUCAGACGUCGAUGGAAAACUUUUGGCUAGAGUCCGGGAGAGGAGAGUGGAAUUCCUGGUGUAGCGGUGAAAUGCGAAGAUAACAGGAAGAACACCCGUGGCUAAGGCGGCUCUCUAGUACGGUACUGAAGCUGAGACGCGAAAGCGUGGGGAGCGAACAGG
RNAcentral lists this ribosomal RNA (428 nucleotides) under Acidobacteriota bacterium. Its description in RNAcentral is "Acidobacteria bacterium partial 16S ribosomal RNA". It matches the Rfam family "Bacterial small subunit ribosomal RNA", at positions 355 to 776 of the family's 1533-position model. The record is from RNAcentral. Lineage: Bacteria; Pseudomonadati; Acidobacteriota.